This 274-nucleotide ribosomal RNA is filed under the name uncultured bacterium. RNAcentral describes it as "partial 16S ribosomal RNA". It matches the Rfam family "Bacterial small subunit ribosomal RNA", at positions 523 to 796 of the family's 1533-position model. The record is from RNAcentral.
AUACGGAGGGUGCGAGCGUUAAUCGGAAUUACUGGGCGUAAAGGGUGCGUAGGCGGCUUGAUAAGUCGGAUGUGAAAGCCCCGGGCUUAACCUGGGAAUUGCAUUCGAUACUGUCAGGCUAGAGUAUGUCAGAGGUUGGCGGAAUUUCUGGUGUAGCGGUGAAAUGCGUAGAUAUCAGGAGGAACACCAGUGGCGAAGGCGGCUAACUGGGACAAUACUGACGCUGAGGCACGAAAGCGUGGGGAGCAAACAGGAUUAGAUACCCUAGUAGUCC